AUUGAACGCUGGCGGCAGGCCUAACACAUGCAAGUCGAACGGUAACAGGAAGAAGCUUGCUUCUUUGCUGACGAGUGGCGGACGAGUGAGUAAUGUCUGGGAAACUGCCUGAUGGAGGGGGAUAACUACUGGAAACGGUAGCUAAUACCGCAUAACGUCGCAAGACCAAAAAGGGGGACCUUCGGGCCUCUUGCCAUCGGAUGUGCCCAGAUGGGAUUAGCUAGUAGGUGGGGUAACGGCUCACCUAGGCGAAGAUCCCUAGCUGGUCUGAGAGGAUGACAAGCCACACUGGAACUGAGACACGGUCCAGACUCCUACGGGAGGCAGCAGUGGGGAAUAUUGCACAAUGGGCGCAAGCCUGAUGCAGCCAUGCCGCGUGUAUGAAGAAGGCCUUCGGGUUGUAAAGUACUUUCAGCGGGGAGGAAGGGAGUAAAGUUAAUACCUUUGCUCAUUGACGUUACCCGCAGAAGAAGCACCGGCUAACUCCGUG
This 490-nucleotide ribosomal RNA is filed under the name uncultured bacterium. RNAcentral describes it as "partial 16S ribosomal RNA". It matches the Rfam family "Bacterial small subunit ribosomal RNA", at positions 30 to 507 of the family's 1533-position model. The record is from RNAcentral.